This 2505-nucleotide long non-coding RNA is filed under the name Eucalyptus grandis. RNAcentral describes it as "long non-coding RNA (EGRA_LNC005749)". The record is from RNAcentral. Lineage: Eukaryota; Viridiplantae; Streptophyta; Magnoliopsida; Myrtales; Myrtaceae.
ACAGUUUCAUAAACAAACGAGUUUAUACACAAAGGCCAAUUCUACGUCUACUAACAAGAGGUCUAUCCCAAAAAGGGACUACUGAAUCACCGAGCUCCUGACCCAUCCGCCUCAAGCUCCGGGUUCUUAACACUAGAAACUUGAAAAUGGUAACCUACGACGAGGUGAGAUAUAAAUCUCAGCAAGUUCACGUCCUAAACCCUGAUUAGGAAGAUAAUACACCCAAAGGAAGCCUAUAGACACAACCAAUGAGACUCACCUCGCCUCAGUUCCUUCCUGCACAUUAGUACAGUUCGUAAAAUAUAUGCAUAUACUUAUUGCACUCAACAAUUGGAACAUCUCAUUCAAUCACAUCUCAAUCAAUCAAUCACAAAAGUCCCGAUUAUAAAGCCAAAUCGUUAUGACACAUCUCAUUCCAUGUCAAACAAUUUCAUCCUAUAAUCAGGCGCGGGUAAAUCAUAUCGGUGGUUUAAUCCACACCCAAUAUUCACUCUCAAAAAUCCAACUCCAACUCGAUAUCAGACUCAAGGCUCUAACUCAAUAACAAGCUCAAGGCUCUAGAGAUAGUUCCCACACGACUCAAGUCGCCAUGUAACACUUAGCCCUUGAUUACAAUAAGCAAUAGUCUAAGACUCCAGAGGUGACCCACAUGAAGUUUCGCCAUCGUGUAAUACUUAGUCCUUAACCACAUAACACACUAGUACAAGGCUCUAGAGGUGACCCACAUGAAGUUUCAUCCUCGUGUAGUACUUAGCCCUUGACCAUGCAUGACAACACUACAAGGCUCUAGAGGUAGUCCUCAUGCGACUCAAGUCGUCAUUUAACACUUAGCCAUUGUCUACAAUAAGCAAUAGUAGAAGACUCUAGAAGUGACCCACACGAGGUUUCAUUAUCGUGUAGUACUUAGUCCUUUACCUGUUCACAACCCAUUGGUUUCUUAACCCAACACAUGUCAUCUUAAUGUCCAAUAGUCACCUUACCAUGACUAUAAACCAUCACACGAUCAUCAAGUAUAAGCUCUAGGCAUAUCACAAACCAACCACAUCAUCCAAAUUGCACAAAUUGGCAAACAUUGCACCAAUAACACCAUAACCAUGGCAUAACCAUUCACGCCUCAACACGCAUAACCUCUAGGCAUAAUACAAAGAAACCACAUCACCAAAUGUGCAAUUUCUAGCAAGCAAAGCAUUGAGAACCAUCAUAAAACUAUAAUCGGUCCUAACCGGUAGAACAGUCCAGUCGCACAUCUCUAAGUUUAAAUCCAAAAACCCAAUUAAAUGAGUUUAGAAAAUUCCCAAAUUUGAAUAUGUUAUAAGAAAUACAUAAAAGAAAAUUUUUCAUGGAGACACCUUAACCCAGAUCCUUCUAGAUUCGGCCCAGUAAAUCGCUCAAUCUAGUACCAAAGCUGGGUCCGUUUUUAAAAAGUCUGUUUUCCAAAAUCAGUUUGGUUAGAGAUCCAAAACAUGUCUGUUUGAUCUGAAAUUGGAGUAUGUAAACCUAGAAGAUGUAACAAACAACUUUUGUGAAGAAACCAUUUUGAAAUUUGAACCCUAAGAGUUGACAAAAACCCCUAGAAUCCUAAAAGGUCACAAAUUCCAGCACAGUCUGAGGUUCUAUUUGCAAAUAACGAAGCUGAAUUCUCAUACUUUUAAUUCUCUAAAAAUCUUGAGUAAAAAAUAUAUGUUGUAGAUGAAGAUAUCUAAAACAUUUAUCAAAAAGACAUUAAUCUCAAAUUCAUAGCCCAUUUCAAUCUACAAAAAAGGCAAAUGGCAAGGGUCCAGAUAUCAAAACUGCAGAAAGUCCACUGGAUUCGACUAAUCCAUCAUCAAUGGUGCUAAUCUCACUAAUUAGAUUAACACUAACCUAUUUUAAGGCUAAUCUAACCAUUCUAGAUUAGUACUAAAUAAUUCUUAAGCUAAUCUAAAUAACCAUUAAGUAUAAUUAACCUCCUAAGCAAGGUUUAGUGAAUAAACUCACCGAUUUAGCGGUCCGGUGAGUCCACGGCAACGCGGAGAUGAGCAAAACUCAGGCUCACGGAAACACCAAUAGAGGCUCAAAUGAGCCUUAAAACCACCUUGCAAGGCCAAGGCUUGCUGCUAGAAAACCAAUCAUGUUCUGCUUCUGCUUGAGCUGCUGGUCAAGUGGCUGUUGGCGCGGCUUGGUGGUCUUGGCUCGAUGGGAUAGCAGCUAGACGAACAGGCGGAGCUGCUGGCGUAUCGACAAAUGAGCUGGUCGAGUUUUGGCGGGUGGGGGCUACUCUAGACGUGAAGAUGCAGCUGAGUGUUGUUGGUGCAGGGGCUGUUCUGGCUUGGGUCGUUGAUGAAGUUGGCUAGUACACAUGAGUGGAGAUGAGCUGGUGAAGGCGUGGGGUGAUGCUUGGAGUUGGCGAAGCUGGAGGUGGCGCUGAUGGGCUGGACUAUGGAGAGAUGGGUUGGUGGACAUGCAGCAAGAACAAAAUGAAGAGAAGCAAAAACCAGAGGAAAGAAUGAAGAAAAUGAGGAAGAA